This 440-nucleotide ribosomal RNA is filed under the name uncultured bacterium. RNAcentral describes it as "partial 16S ribosomal RNA". It matches the Rfam family "Bacterial small subunit ribosomal RNA", at positions 338 to 795 of the family's 1533-position model. The record is from RNAcentral.
CCUACGGGAGGCAGCAGUGAGGAAUAUUGGGCAAUGGGGGCAACCCUGACCCAGCCAUGCCGCGUGAGUGAAGAAGGUCUUCGGAUUGUAAAGCUCUUUCGGACGUGCCGAUGAUGACGGUAGCGUCUAAAGAAGCACCGGCAAACUUCGUGCCAGCAGCCGCGGGAAUACGAAGGGUGCGAGCGUUGUUUGGAAUUACUGGUCUUAGGGGGAGUGUAGGCGGACAUGUAAGAUAGCGGGGAAAUGCCUGGGUUCAACCCCGGAACUGCCAUUAUGACUAUGUAUCUAGAGUAAUGGAGCGGAUAGCGGAAUAUCCAGUGUAGAGGUGAAAUUCGUAGAUAUUGGGUAGAACACCGGUGGCGAAGGCGGCUAUCUGGCCAUUUACUGACGCUGAGGCUCGAAAGCAUGGGGAUCAAACAGGAUUAGAUACCCUAGUAGUC